UUUUUUUCAUCUUUGCAACUCUUAAUCUCGCUACUUCCCCCUCUCUCUUCUCUCUUCUUCCUCUCUCUCUUCUUUUCUCUACCGCUGUCUCUGAGCCGCCUUCUUCCCUUUUCCCCAAAGAAGUUGAUGCAGAAAUUCGAAAAGCCCUGGGCACAGAGUUGUUGAAUGGGAUGAGCAAUUAGAGCGGGGAUUUUGUUGGGAGGCAAGAGGGUCCCCCAGGCUCCACAUAGGCCAGGUCGGCGGGCAAGGAAAGACGGCUGACCAGCCCAGCGGGCGCGGUUUGCACAUGGUUUGCACGUCGGGCCGCCUCUUUCUGCCUAUAAUUCAGCAGCCUCUGUGAGGAGUGGUGGAGGAGCUGCGGGAGCCGAGAAGCCCAAGAGCCCUCUGGACCGGGAAGAGUCCCACAGAUGCCCACUCCUCACCACACAACAGAAGGAUCUCUGGUCCUGCCUGCCAGCCCCAGAGGGCACUCAAACUUUGGAGGCCAGCCACCCGGAUGAAGUGAAUAAGGCCUGAAAUUGCUUGUUUGCUCAUAUUGUAAAAUGAUAAUAAUUACCAUUAUUAUUUUAAAACUGCCUAAUUUCUCUAGGGAAAGUAACAGCGAAAGCCUAAAACACACCCCAAAAGGCCCAUAGAACACAGAGGGCCCUCUCUGUCUCUGGCCACUGCAGCCCCCAGGCCACGCAUGGGUAUUUAUUCUUAGGUAUGUUGCUUUUAAGACGAUGUAAUCAGCAUCUUGAGCCGGGCCUCCCUUUGUGAGGCUUCUGUAACUAUGGAAGUGUGAUUUACGCAGAUUUGUCGGGGUCAGAGACGUCUUUCCCUGAGCGCUGUGUAUAUUUAGACAGGACUCGGUUUGGUGUUAAAAAGUGUAUAUGUUGAAUGGAUUCACACACAGUAGCCAACAAUGACCACAUUGUCGGCCCGUGUACAACGCGUAUUGAAACGCAGCGCCCAGACUUCAACUAAUCUGCCCUCAAUAAAGCUGAAAUAAUUAUCCUAA
Piliocolobus tephrosceles (Ugandan red Colobus) is the source of this 1000-nucleotide long non-coding RNA. RefSeq lists it as uncharacterized. The record is from RefSeq and is a predicted model, not a curated record. The transcript is spliced from 2 exons. Lineage: Eukaryota; Metazoa; Chordata; Mammalia; Primates; Cercopithecidae.